AUUGAACGCUGGCGGCAGGCCUAACACAUGCAAGUCGAGCGGAUGAAGGGAGCUUGCUCCUGGAUUCAGCGGCGGACGGGUGAGUAAUGCCUAGGAAUCUGCCUGGUAGUGGGGGAUAACGUCCGGAAACGGGCGCUAAUACCGCAUACGUCCUGAGGGAGAAAGUGGGGGAUCUUCGGACCUCACGCUAUCAGAUGAGCCUAGGUCGGAUUAGCUAGUUGGUGGGGUAAAGGCCUACCAAGGCGACGAUCCGUAACUGGUCUGAGAGGAUGAUCAGUCACACUGGAACUGAGACACGGUCCAGACUCCUACGGGAGGCAGCAGUGGGGAAUAUUGGACAGUGGGCGAAAGCCUGAUCCAGCCAUGCCGCGUGUGUGAAGAAGGUCUUCGGAUUGUAAAGCACUUUAAGUUGGAGGAAGGGCAGUAAGUUAAUACCUUGCUGUUUUGACGUUACCAACAGAAUAAGCACCGGCUAACUUCGUG
This 483-nucleotide ribosomal RNA is filed under the name uncultured bacterium. RNAcentral's name for it is "partial 16S ribosomal RNA". It matches the Rfam family "Bacterial small subunit ribosomal RNA", at positions 30 to 507 of the family's 1533-position model. The record is from RNAcentral.